GGCAGAGUGAGGGAUGGAGCUGGUGACAGGUGGCAGAGUACGGAAAGGUGGGUGGCAGGGCAGAGUGAGGUGGUGACAGGUGGCUGAGUGAGGGUAUGACAGGUGGCACAGUGAGAGGUGACAGGUGGCACUGUGAGGGGAUGACAGGUGGCAGAGUGAAGGGAUGACAGGUGGCAGAGUGAAGGGGUGACAGGGGGAAGAGUGAGGGGGUGAUAGG
Pelobates cultripes (western spadefoot toad) is the source of this 217-nucleotide non-coding RNA. The record is from the annotation of a GenBank genome assembly. NCBI's taxonomy places the organism in Eukaryota, Metazoa, Chordata, Amphibia, Anura, Pelobatidae.